This 253-nucleotide ribosomal RNA is filed under the name uncultured bacterium. Its description in RNAcentral is "partial 16S ribosomal RNA". It matches the Rfam family "Bacterial small subunit ribosomal RNA", at positions 524 to 776 of the family's 1533-position model. The record is from RNAcentral.
UACGAAGGGGGCUAGCGUUGCUCGGAAUUACUGGGCGUAAAGGGUGCGUAGGCGGGUUAUCAAGUUGGAGGUGAAAGCCCAGGGCUCAACCUUGGAAUUGCCUUCAAAACUGAUAGCCUAGAGUAUGAUAGAGGUAAGUGGAACUCCGAGUGUAGAAGUGAAAUUCGUAGAUAUUCGGAAGAACACCAGUGGCGAAGGCGACUUACUGGAUCAUGACUGACGCUGAGGCUCGAAAGCGUGGGGAGCAAACAGG